CGGAGGAAGAAGGAAGGAGAGAGAAGAUGGAGGAAGGAAGAAGAAAGAAAGGAAGGAAGAAAAAGAAGGAAAAGAAAAGAGGAAAAAGGAGAUGGAAAAAGGAAAAGGUGGGAGAGGGAGAAUCGGCGAAAAUUGCGGAAUCGGUCGGGGACGCGCGACGGAUUUGACGGGCACGCGGUGAAAUUUGCGGAGGACGGAAAAAGAUGACUGACAAUGUUGGGUGCCGGGACGGCGGGGUCGCCAGGAAGGAAGAGAUUUUCGGGAGCUUAACGGUCGAAAGAUUUUGAAACAAAUUUUUAGCGGAUGAUUUGAGUUAGUAAAUUUUACGGGUGUUACACUUUUUACCAAGGAAAGAAAGAGAUCAAAUCCAACACGUUUCAAAGUUGGAUUCGGACUCUAAAACAACACCAACUUGUGACGGUCACCACGGUCGCAUACAGACUCGGAUUGGGGCGUUCAAGUACUUCAUGGAAUCCUUAUGAAGUCUAUUUUCAUAUGGAUCCAGACUCAUAUCCAUAUCUAUUUUGAGGCGGCCACAAUGAUCAAAUUAUUAUCGAGAGGGUUUUCUAUCUAAGGUGUUGUGCCACCUUAUUUUGGCCCAAUGGGCCGUGUAUCAAGUUGGAUCCAUUAGGGACAUGUCCUAGGGUUGGAGCACGAUCCCAACACCCUUGUGGUUAUCCUCCCACAUUCUUAUACCCCUUAGCCGCCACUAGAAACGCUCAAGUUUUGUUUAGACUAAGUUUAGCUUUUGCUACUUGCUUGUAAGCGCGCGUGCUGAAUCAACCGCCCAUCUUCUUGUCUUCCAAACUAAUGAGGAUAUCAACACCAACGAUACAUCCACACCGGCACAAGUACCAGUUGCUGAUCCUAUUACUCGC
This 878-nucleotide long non-coding RNA is filed under the name Setaria viridis. RNAcentral describes it as "long non-coding RNA (SVIR_LNC003396)". The record is from RNAcentral. Lineage: Eukaryota; Viridiplantae; Streptophyta; Magnoliopsida; Poales; Poaceae.